RNAcentral lists this ribosomal RNA (253 nucleotides) under uncultured bacterium. Its description in RNAcentral is "partial 16S ribosomal RNA". It matches the Rfam family "Bacterial small subunit ribosomal RNA", at positions 524 to 776 of the family's 1533-position model. The record is from RNAcentral.
UACAGAGGGUGCAAGCGUUGUUCGGAAUUAUUGGGCGUAAAGGGCGCGUAGGCGGUGCGGUAAGUCUGUAGUGAAAUCUCUGGGCUCAACUCAGAGUCUGCUAUAGAAACUGCCGUGCUUGAGUGUGGGAGAGGUGAGUGGAAUUCCCGGUGUAGCGGUGAAAUGCGCAGAUAUCAGGAAGAACACCCGUGGCGAAGGCGGCUCUCUGGGACGGUACUGACGCUGAGACGCGAAAGCGUGGGGAGCGAACAGG